Molecule: ribosomal RNA, 468 nt
Filed under: uncultured bacterium
Lineage: Bacteria
Description: partial 16S ribosomal RNA
Rfam family: Bacterial small subunit ribosomal RNA
Source: RNAcentral
GACGAACGCUGGCGGCGUGCUUAACACAUGCAAGUCGAACGGAAAGGCCCUGCUUUUGUGGGGUGCUCGAGUGGCGAACGGGUGAGUAACACGUGAGUAACCUGCCCUUGACUUUGGGAUAACUUCAGGAAACUGGGGCUAAUACCUGAUAGGAGCUCCUGCUGCAUGGUGGGGGUUGGAAAGUUUCGGCGGUUGGGGAUGGACUCGCGGCUUAUCGGCUUGUUGGUGGGGUAGUGGCUUACCAAGGCUUUGACGGGUAGCCGGCCUGAGAGGGUGACCGGCCACAUUGGGACUGAGAUACGGCCCAGACUCCUACGGGAGGCAGCAGUGGGGAAUAUUGCACAAUGGGCGGAAGCCUGAUGCAGCAACGCCGCGUGCGGGAUGACGGCCUUCGGGUUGUAAACCGCUUUCGCCUGUGACGAAGCGUGAGUGACGGUAAUGGGUAAAGAAGCACCGGCUAACUACGUG